UACGUAGGGGGCAAGCGUUGUCCGGAAUUAUUGGGCGUAAAGAGCGUGUAGGCGGCCAGAUAAGUCCGCUGUGAAAUCUCGAGGCUCAACUUCGAGCUGUCGGUGGAAACUAUCUGGCUAGAGUCCGGAAGAGGAGAAUGGAAUUCCUGGUGUAGCGGUGAAAUGCGCAGAUAUCAGGAAGAACACCCGUGGCGAAGGCGGUUCUCUGGGACGGUACUGACGCUGAGACGCGAAAGCAUGGGGAGCAAACAGG
This 253-nucleotide ribosomal RNA is filed under the name uncultured bacterium. RNAcentral describes it as "partial 16S ribosomal RNA". It matches the Rfam family "Bacterial small subunit ribosomal RNA", at positions 524 to 776 of the family's 1533-position model. The record is from RNAcentral.